GACGAACGCUGGCGGCGUGCUUAACACAUGCAAGUCGAGCGGUAAGGCCCUUUCGGGGGUACGACGAGCGGCGAACGGGUGAGUAACACGUGGGUGACCUGCCCUCAGCUCUGGGAUAAGCCUGGGAAACCGGGUCUAAUACUGGAUAUGACUCCAUGACGCAUGUUGUGGGGUGGAAAGCCUUGUGCGGCUGAGGAUGGGCCCGCGGCCUAUCAGCUUGUUGGCGGGGUGAGGCCUACCAAGGCGACGACGGGUAGCCGGCCUGAGAGGGCGACCGGCCACACUGGGACGUGAGACACGGCCCAGACUCCUACGGGAGGGCAGCAGUGGGGAAGUCUUGCGCAAUGGGCGAAAGACCUGACGCAGCGACGCCGCGUGAGGGA
This 383-nucleotide ribosomal RNA is filed under the name uncultured bacterium. Its description in RNAcentral is "bacterial SSU rRNA". It matches the Rfam family "Bacterial small subunit ribosomal RNA", at positions 28 to 408 of the family's 1533-position model. The record is from RNAcentral.